ACGUGGACAAUCCUGACCCCCCGGCCGGGAUAGCCCCAGGGAAACCUGGACUUAAUACCGGAUGAGACGGGACCCGCGAUGGCGGGAUCCGGGAAAGGCGCUGCGGCGCCGCCGGGGGAUGAGUCUGCGUCCCAGUUAGCUAGACGGCGGGGUAACGGCCCACCGUGGCGACGAUGGGUAGCCGGCCUGAGAGGUGACGGCCACAUUGGAACUGAGACACGGUCCAGACUCCUACGGGAGGCAGCAGCUAAGAAUCUUCCGCAAUGGGCGAAAGCCUGACGGAGCGGAACCGCCGCGUGAACGAAGAAGGCCGUGAGGUUGUAAAGUUCUUUUCGGGAGGGGAACAACCGUGGCAGGGAAUGGCCGCGGGAUGACGUGAAUCCCGGAAUAAGCCCCGGCUAACUACGUGCCAGCAGCCGC
This 420-nucleotide ribosomal RNA is filed under the name uncultured bacterium. RNAcentral describes it as "bacterial SSU rRNA". It matches the Rfam family "Bacterial small subunit ribosomal RNA", at positions 115 to 518 of the family's 1533-position model. The record is from RNAcentral.